This 300-nucleotide ribosomal RNA is filed under the name uncultured Thermosipho sp. RNAcentral's name for it is "partial 16S ribosomal RNA". It matches the Rfam family "Bacterial small subunit ribosomal RNA", at positions 496 to 795 of the family's 1533-position model. Lineage: Bacteria; Thermotogati; Thermotogota; Thermotogae; Thermotogales; Fervidobacteriaceae. The record is from RNAcentral.
ACAAAACGCGAGCAGGGGUUGGGGUGAAUGCGUAUGGGGGGGACGUUACUCUGGAUUACGGUGCGGUAAGUGGUCGCAGGCGGCCGCGCAAGUCGAUGGUUAAAGCCCCGAGCUGAACUUUGGAACUUCGCUCGAAACGACGUGGCUGGAGUGUGGCAGAGGAAGGUGGAAUUCCACGUGUAGCGGUGAAAUGCGUAGAGAUGUGGAGGAACACCGAUGGCGAAGGCAGCCUUCGGGGCCAACACUGACGCUCAUGCACGAAAGCGUGGGGAGCAAACAGGAUUAGAUACCCGUGUAGUC